CUCGUAUGCAUCAUUCGACCGGGCGGUCGAGCUGGUAAAACGGGCCGGGCAUGGGGCGCUUAUGGCCAAAGUGGAUGUUGAGGCAGCGUUUCGGCUGCUGCCAGUCCACCCGGACUGUCACCACCUGCUGGGAUGUUUUUUCGAGGGGAAGUAUUUCGUGGACUUGUGCCUCCCAAUGGGCUGUUCCAUUUCAUGCUCCUAUUUCGAGAAGUUUAGUACUUUUCUCGAAUGGGUGGUGCGGGUGGAGGCAGGG
This 253-nucleotide long non-coding RNA is filed under the name Pelobates cultripes (western spadefoot toad). Lineage: Eukaryota; Metazoa; Chordata; Amphibia; Anura; Pelobatidae. The record is from RNAcentral.